UCCAUAAUUCCUUCACUCAUAUUGCAGUCAAGUGUAACGUAGCAAAUUUGUUAGCCUACGAAAAUGUCCAGUGAUCAAAGGAAAUACGAAAGUGGGGCCCAAAAAUGAAAAUUUCAGCAACAAAAACAAGAGAGAACUUUGGAGUUGUUAAAGAAGACACCCAAAUUAACCAACUUCUUUAAAUCAGAAAGCCAACAUACCGCUGCUAGUAGUACAACUGAUGUUGAUCAUGAAGAAGAGCCAGGUACUUCAACAUUAGCGUUAGCAAAUAUCAGAGGGAAGAAUCAGAGGUAACAGACAGCGAUGGCGCCGCUGUGGUGGAGGAGAAAGAAAUAUCGUUAGAUGCUGCAUGUUGGGGAGUAAUUACAGAAGACCCCUACUGGGUCAGGAAAGGAGUUACAGCCCCCUCACUGUGUCAGAACAAAGAUGUAAAUUUUUCGGCAUCGGAAAGAAUAUACAAGAAUCAGAAACGAUGUUUAAGUAAACGUUGUUCACCCGUGCACUCCGAAAUGGGGAAAAAGUUUCAAGAGAAUGGCUCGUGUACUCCCUUCGACUGGGAACGUGUAUUGUUUUUUUUUGUAGACUAUUUGGCGAGACAACCUCAUCAUCUGCUUUUGCUCAUUCUGCUUUUUCGGAUUGGAAACAUGCAGUUUGCCGGGGGGAAGAGCAUGAAGCGGGCCAGCCACGCUCACCUGGCUUGCUCGCACACAGGUGCAAGGAAUAGACUUGGCGCAAAAGGAACAGUGCAAAGAUGAGGAGAAUUACUGGAGAGAAGUUUUGAGGCGAGUUGUGGCCAUCAUACAGUUUUUGUCGGAACGUGGCCUUGCCGAAGAACAAGAAAAAGGACCUUUAACAUUACUGGGUCUGAGCAAUCACUUCCACCCGGGAUGCUCAAAGGAAAGAGCAUUUCUGGAAUCCAGAAUCCUCCGAUGGAUGAACCCUGACUGCAGUCUGUUUCCAGACUACUACUUGGGAUUCUUCAGCCAGUUAUCACUCAAGUUGAUACCUUCGAAAAAAAUUAAGUUACCGCGUAAAUUACCGCAUAUAUUGGUACAUAACUAACAGUUCACUUCAAUUUUCUAAUAUUAGGAAAUUCAAGUAUGAGAAUAUCUGUGUGGGAACACCUAUUGAUGUGCAAAUGCAGUCAACACGUACAUAGGUGGAGUGAGAUGGUGAACAUAAAAAUAAGUUACAGCAUAGCAAUUCUAGUUUAAUAGACAAAGCCGCAUGACUGUGGUAGGUCCAUGUGUUCUAUCUACAAAUAAUAUUAUAUUGUUACUUUGCUCAUGUAAUGCGCAGCUAGUCCAGAGACUGCGGUAGCGGAACCUAACGCGCCGCUAGUUCGGGGAAUACGGUAGGGGAGCGGAGCAGCAUUUAAAAGUAAACUCGGAUUUCCAAUAUGGCAGCGUCCCUGGUGUUUUGGAGAAGCGGCAUUCUGAACCAGCUCCGAUUUGUGAAAGUGCAUCCAGCUCUUUGUAAGUAAUUAUUGAAUGAGGUUCACUCGUCUGAUUGUGAUGUUGUUGCUGCUGUACAGGGUACUGACGAUGCUGUUGUCAAGCCGGGCUGUGUCAUUUGUGUGUGUAUUUUAGUUUUGAAGGCUAUGGUCAGCUGGUGCAGCGUGUAGCCGGAUUCAGAAAAGUCGGUUGUGGUGUUACCUUGGUACGCAUAUCAUUAUGUUUUUCUUUGAUAACAGCCCUCUGUAAUAAUAAUAAUGUAUUUUAUUGUUAAUGCACAAACUGAUGAUUGUUACUCUUUGUAGACUGCCGUAGGCUGCUGUCUUGGUGUGCCGGGGGGGACUUGUAGCUGCCGUACAUUAUGGGGAAUACUGAUAGUAUGUGACGUCACCGAGAUGGCAUUGUUAAGGUUUUAAUGUUGCAUGAACAGUGACAUGAACUAUUUGCUGAAUUGAUAUUGUUUGUCUUUUCUGUUGCAUUUCUAAUUAUGUUUUGUGUUUUUUUGGUUUAGCGGGGUUUAUGUCACUGCUUUCUUAGGUUUUAAAAGCACUUUAGCACUAUAAGCACUUUGAUCAGAACCUGAUUUUCCACAGCAUGGACUUUUAGGCAGUGGAAAGUAUGUGUAACCCAAUCUUCCUGUUAUGCAUUUUAAAGGAACAUUUCCUAGAUUAUUAAUAAACUUUGUUUUGUACUAAAAGGAA
Long non-coding RNA from Anguilla anguilla (European eel), 2155 nucleotides. RefSeq lists it as uncharacterized. The transcript has 2 exons. Lineage: Eukaryota; Metazoa; Chordata; Actinopteri; Anguilliformes; Anguillidae. The record is from RefSeq and is a predicted model, not a curated record.